UCAUUAUAACAGCUAUAAUUUACUUGAUCUUGACACAAUCCUACUUGGAUAACUGUGGUAAUUCUAGAGCUAAUACAUGCAUUAAAGCUCCGACCUCACGGGAAGAGUGCAUUUAUUAGAACAAAACCAAGCGGCUUCGGCUGUUUUCGGUUGACUCAUAGUAACUGAGCUGAUCGCAUGGGCUUGUCCCGGCGACGUGUCUUUCAAGUAUCUGCCGUAUCAACUUUCGAUGGUAGUGUAUCUGACUACCAUGGUGAUCACGCGUAACGGAGAAUAAGGGUUCGACUCCGGAGAGUUCGCCUGAGAAAUCGCGAACACAUCUAAGGAAGGCAGCAGGCGCGAAAAUUACCCACUCUCAGCACGAGGAGGUAGUGACGAAAAAUAACGAGACCGUUCUCUUAUGAGGCCGGUCAUCGGAAUGGGUACAAUUUAAACCCUUUAACGAGUAUCUAUGAGAGGGCAAGUCUGGUGCCAGCAGCCGCGGUAAUUCCAGCU
RNAcentral lists this ribosomal RNA (495 nucleotides) under Nematoda environmental sample. Its description in RNAcentral is "SSU rRNA". It matches the Rfam family "Eukaryotic small subunit ribosomal RNA", at positions 98 to 590 of the family's 1831-position model. Lineage: Eukaryota; Metazoa; Nematoda. The record is from RNAcentral.